UACGGAGGGUGCAAGCGUUAUCCGGAUUCACUGGGUUUAAAGGGAGCGUAGGUGGUCUUAUAAGUCAGUGGUGAAAUCUCGCAGCUUAACUGCGAAACUGCCAUUGAUACUGUAGGACUUGAGUAUAGUUGCUGUGGGCGGAAUAUGACAUGUAGUGGUGAGAUACUUAGAGAUGUCAUAGAACACCGAUUGCGAAGGCAGCUCACAAAACUAUAACUGACACUGAGGCUCGAAAGUGCGGGGAUCAAACAGG
RNAcentral lists this ribosomal RNA (253 nucleotides) under uncultured bacterium. RNAcentral's name for it is "partial 16S ribosomal RNA". It matches the Rfam family "Bacterial small subunit ribosomal RNA", at positions 524 to 776 of the family's 1533-position model. The record is from RNAcentral.